AGCAUAAAUAUUAUAAUUGUCAUUGUCACCGCAAGGUGAAGAUGAUUCUGAAAUCUUUGUGGAAUAGUCGUUUUGGACCCGGGGGCGGUACCCGGCACCUCCACCAAUAAAAAUCACGGGGGUGUAUCAGUUUCGACAGACGCAAUAAAGACAAAAGGCUGAAUCCGACAUGGUCGUCGUUAAAUACCAAUAAAAACAUGAAUGGCGAUAGAAUCGCUGCGAACGACAAUGUUCGCCUUGCAAUGGCUGCCUAAUAUGGCGUUGGAUGUGGUUGGCAAUUGUUAGCCCGUCCGUUUUAGCUUUUGCGGGGCCCGCCGGGUGCCUGGCACCAGAAACC
This 337-nucleotide transfer-messenger RNA is filed under the name bovine gut metagenome. RNAcentral's name for it is "Alphaproteobacteria transfer-messenger RNA". It matches the Rfam family "Alphaproteobacteria transfer-messenger RNA". Rfam says of the family: Bacterial tmRNA, also known as 10Sa RNA or SsrA, is named for its dual tRNA and mRNA-like properties. The record is from RNAcentral.